Molecule: ribosomal RNA, 254 nt
Filed under: uncultured bacterium
Lineage: Bacteria
Description: partial 16S ribosomal RNA
Rfam family: Bacterial small subunit ribosomal RNA
Source: RNAcentral
UACGGGGGGAGCAAGCGUUGUUCGGAUUUACUGGGCGUAAAGGGCGCGUAGGCGGUCGUGACAAGUCACUUAUGAAAUCUCCGGGCUUAACUCGGAACGGUCAAGUGAUACUGUCGGACUAGAGUACAGAAGGGGCAACUGGAAUUCUCGGUGUAGCGGUGAAAUGCGUAGAUAUCGAGAGGAACACCUGCGGCGAAGGCGGGUUGCUGGGCUGAUACUGACGCUGAGGCGCGAAAGCCAGGGGAGCGAACGGG